Molecule: ribosomal RNA, 445 nt
Filed under: uncultured bacterium
Lineage: Bacteria
Description: SSU rRNA
Rfam family: Bacterial small subunit ribosomal RNA
Source: RNAcentral
AGAGCGAACGCUGGCGGCAGGCUUAACACAUGCAAGUCGAGCGGGCGUAGCAAUACGUCAGCGGCAGACGGGUGAGUAACGCGUGGGAACAUACCUUUUGGUUCGGAACAACCCAGGGAAACUUGGGCUAAUACCGGAUAAGCCCUUACGGGGAAAGAUUUAUCGCCGAAAGAUUGGCCCGCGUCUGAUUAGCUAGUUGGUGAGGUAACGGCUCACCAAGGCGACGAUCAGUAGCUGGUCUGAGAGGAUGAUCAGCCACAUUGGGACUGAGACACGGCCCAAACUCCUACGGGAGGCAGCAGUGGGGAAUAUUGGACAAUGGGCGCAAGCCUGAUCCAGCCAUGCCGCGUGAGUGAUGAAGGCCCUAGGGUUGUAAAGCUCUUUGUGCGGAAGAUAAUGACGGUACCGCAAGAAUAAGCCCGGCUAACUUCGUGCCAGCAGCCGC